This 75-nucleotide transfer RNA is filed under the name Agromyces mediolanus. RNAcentral's name for it is "tRNA-Asp". It matches the Rfam family "tRNA". Rfam says of the family: Transfer RNA (tRNA) molecules are approximately 80 nucleotides in length. Lineage: Bacteria; Bacillati; Actinomycetota; Actinomycetes; Micrococcales; Microbacteriaceae. The record is from RNAcentral. RNAcentral also lists the same sequence under 14 other names.
GGCCCUGUGGCGCAGUUGGUUAGCGUGCCGCCCUGUCACGGCGGAGGUCGCGGGUUCAAGUCCCGUCAGGGUCGC